UGGGUUGAAUGGCUGGUUCUGA
This 22-nucleotide microRNA is filed under the name Sus scrofa (pig). Its description in RNAcentral is "ssc-mir324". The record is from RNAcentral. Lineage: Eukaryota; Metazoa; Chordata; Mammalia; Artiodactyla; Suidae.